This 228-nucleotide long non-coding RNA is filed under the name Lathyrus oleraceus (garden pea). RNAcentral's name for it is "Pisum sativum (pea) long non-coding RNA (PSAT_LNC014785)". The record is from RNAcentral. Lineage: Eukaryota; Viridiplantae; Streptophyta; Magnoliopsida; Fabales; Fabaceae.
GGAAGAUCUCCAGAACUAUACACCACCUCACCAGCCAGGGAACGGUGGACGUCCACGUACACAUGGAAGAAGGCGUCAGUAGCAGAAUAAACCAGGUUCUACCUUUCUUUCCUAUCUUAUGUCAUUGCAUUGGGGACAAUGCAAGAUUUAAGUAUGGGGGAGGAAGCUUUACCGCUUUUUAUUUACCGCUUUCUAGUUAGAUUUAUAUUAUUUCUAUUUCUUUUUGUU